RNAcentral lists this non-coding RNA (58 nucleotides) under unclassified sequences. RNAcentral describes it as "Xanthine-I sequence". It matches the Rfam family "Xanthine riboswitch aptamer (NMT1 RNA)". Rfam says of the family: Later it was reported as a ncRNA that recognised Xanthine. The record is from Rfam by way of RNAcentral.
UCGCCGAGUAGAAGCGUUCAGCCCGCGCAGCGCGCGGCGCCCGGAAAUUGCUCAUGUC